Molecule: unclassified non-coding RNA, 616 nt
Filed under: Hevea brasiliensis (rubber tree)
Lineage: Eukaryota; Viridiplantae; Streptophyta; Magnoliopsida; Malpighiales; Euphorbiaceae
Source: RNAcentral
GGCAUUCUUCCUUAUUGAACUACUUAGGUUAGAAGGAUCGAUGCUUACUUGCACAACGCCUGAACUGCCUGAGUAUACCACAAAAUCUAUGUAAUAUGGUGUAGCAAGCUCAUGGAAUGUAAGCGAAGAUAAAUCAAGGUCUUUGUAUGCUGUGAAGCCAUUGAGAUAUACAUUAAAGUACAACUGUCCAGGUGACAAACUAACAAAAUCACAGAAAUGCAGACGAACAAAGUGGGAAGCAUCUUUAAUAGCGACAGGAAAGUUCCAUGUGAUAUUAAAUUUGAAAUCUGUAGUUACAUUAUCUGUAUUCAUCUGCUGUGCUGUCAUAUAGACAUUAUCAGGAGCAAUUUCCCUUGUAGCACCACCCUUUUGAUAGUUGGGAACAUGAGAAGUUUUUGCAAUUUUAGCAGCAUAUUUCAAAAUGAGAAAAUCUUCAUCUGGAAUCCAACUUCUCCAAAGAGUAUCAUUAAAAGGAGUUAGCUUUAACCCUCCAACAUUAAUCCUAUGAACAGUCUCUAAUGUUUGUAACGUCAUAUUCUGAUUAAACUCCUGAAUUCCUUUGGGACCAACUGAUUUAGCCCCAUCACCAAUUAUGAAAUCAUCAGGAGCUGAAAAC